AAGAAAAAAGAGAGUACUUCUGAAACACAUUUUCUUCAGCCGUUUCAUAGAGACUGCCUUCUUUCCUGGUUUAACAAAACCCACCCACCUGACAAAGUGAAUCCAAUUUCACCAUUACUUUUCCUUAUCGUUCGGCCAGAACAGGGUCCUCUACCCACGACGCUACUUUGGUCUCACCUCCUCUUUCUAUCUCUAGAUGAUACACUGCAUUUCCCCAGCCAAAUUUUCUCCGUUUUCAGUUUACUCAUUUUCAUUGUCCGCAACAGGAUCAACACUUUCUCUAUUUUGGGCUUCAUUGUGGAAAUUACCUCACGCUACACGACACAGAAUCCACAAUCCCCAUACCUGCAAAGACUCACGCAGGUCGCUUCACCAUAUUCUCAGGCCAAGCAGAAUCCACACAGUAUCUCGCUAGCGCCACUGCUCGCUUAGCUCCUCUCACUCUUAUCACAAGCAGGGUCUCAUAUUAAUCUAACGUUGCAGCACCUUCCGUCCCUACAGUCCCAUUUCGGCCAACUGAUUCCUCCCUUCUCUCGUUUGAAAUUCAGAAUAACGUGGGUAAUGAUUGAACCUUGUGCUUUUCCUUUUAUAUUUGCCUUAAAGUACUGGUACUGUUAUUUAAUUGAUGAAUGGUUUCCUAAUGGGUUUUUGGUGAUUGAUUUCUUGCUAAAUGGUGUGAUUGGACUUUUAGGUGUGCAUAUGUUCAAUACUUGAUUGAAUGGUUCAGCCCAAGCCCUAUGAUUUUAUUGGGGGUCUUCAUUUUCUGAUUAAUUAAUUUGUUGAUCUAAAAUGUUAUUUUGGUGGAGUUUUCUAGCCGUUGGUUUAUUGAUUAAACAAAAUAAUAAUGUUUUGAUCCAUCUUUGUUGAUUCUUGGUUCCUGGAUAGGUGAACUAUACCUGUUUGUUCAACUACAUUUCUACAAAUGUAGUAUUUGAAUAUCUCGUAAAAAUGGGAUUUGUUUUCUCCGUUGAUCAAUGACCAUACCUUUGUUUUUCUCAAGUUUAGACUAGUUAUAGUUAAUGAAAAUGAAGUAGAAUAAGUUUUCUUUGUAGAAUAGUUUUAUCCCUCUCUUUGUUGAUAUUGAAAACUGACAUUUAUGUUGGUUUCUGAACAACCUUGAUUUGUUGCUUAUAGGAUCAAGCUUCAUUUGUUGGUUAGCAUUAACUUUUCAAUCUGUGGAGUUUAUUUCCUCUGUUUGGAUUGAAUCAAUUGUAACUUGGGCCUCUAUUGUACAGGAAAUGCAUUUCUGUCACAUACUUUACUUUUUAUUUUAUAUGCUGCUAACAGAGGUUCCCAUUCAUUAUUUAUUGAAAUGUUUUUAGCUGGUAUCUGUUUCAGUUAAGUUUUAUUGUUUGUUGAUUUGUCUAUUCUAUUUCAUUUUUUUUUUUUAAUAUUGGCAACUGGGACUACUGUUGGUCCUUUUGUGGCAUAAAUUGGGUGGAUUUAUCAUUGGCCUUGUUUUACUUUUGAGAAAUUGGGCUUCUUUUUACUCCUGCUUCUGUUUUGUUGGUUGUACUUUUAGUCUUUGUCUCACUAUGAACGUGUUUUGGAUUGAUUGCUGAUAAUAGGUUUGUGAAUCUGCAUUCUUCUAGGAGUAUUUAUCUGUCAAUUGAACUAAAUUUGUUCUUUAUUUUUUUUACGAUAUAAUGGCUUCACAGCUUGUUUUGUUAGCAUUCUUUCAUGCAUUCACCAGAAAUUUGUCAUGGGCAUUUCAUUCAGAUAUUAGAUUUGGCCUGGCAUAUUUGAUUUUAUUUAGAAUGGUUUAUUUGAGCUUGAAGCUUGUAUUUCUCUCCCUUUUUUGAGCUUGAAGGUUUGAUAUAAUGGUUUAUUUGAUUUUAUUUGAGCUUGAAGGUUGUGACAUCUCUCAAUGGAAUAUCUGUUUGCCAAAAAAUGAAAUAUAUAUUCUAUUAUGUUACUCUUUCUGUCAUUAAAGGUUUGAACAAGUUUUGUAUACAUAGCUCAAAGUCUAAUUCUUAUGGUUGUUUCAAAUGUAAACAGUUUUCUUAGAAUCUAGUUAAUUGACCUUUCAUCUAAGGUUCAAUGAUAGAUUUGCUAAGAUUUGUAGGUGCAGUGAAUAAGUAUGAUUGCAUUUAAGCCUUUGGGUGUGAUAGGUUCUCUUAUGCAAGGCCCCUAGUUUUAUUUUAUAUAGUCUAAUUUUUGUAGAUUUAUAACAUAAAGUUUUUUUUUUUUUUUUUUUCUGAUUUCGGUAUUUAGAUUUCAAAUUAGAAUAAAUUGUUUUAUGUUGAUCCAGCGACGACUGAGGACGGAGAAGAGUUCCGCCCGCCAGUUCUUAGACUCAGUUUGCUAGAAGAAAG
Molecule: unclassified non-coding RNA, 2315 nt
Filed under: Hevea brasiliensis (rubber tree)
Lineage: Eukaryota; Viridiplantae; Streptophyta; Magnoliopsida; Malpighiales; Euphorbiaceae
Source: RNAcentral